AGUGCCGGUUGUACAUACACUGGCGCACGGCGCACGGGUGCGUACACGUGGGUAAUUUGCCCUCUGAUGGGGAAUAACUCGCCGAAAGGCGAGCUAAUACCGCAUAACAUUCCGGGAACUCCGGUUUCUGGAUUCAAAGGCGUAAGUCGUCGGAGGAGGAGCCCGCGCACGAUUAGCUAGUUGGUAGGGUAACGGCCUACCAAGGCUAUGAUCGUUAGCUGGUCUGAGAGGAUGGCCAGCCACACUGGAACUGAGACACGGUCCAGACUCCUACGGGAGGCAGCAGUGGGGAAUCUUGCACAAUGGGCGAAAGCCUGAUGCAGCGACGCCGCGUGGGGGAUGAAGCUUCUCGGAGUGUAAACCCCCUUCGACCCGGACGAAUGCCCCGCAAGGGGACUGACGGUACGGGUAUAAGAAGCCCCGGCUAACUACGUGCCAGCAGCCGCGGUAAG
RNAcentral lists this ribosomal RNA (452 nucleotides) under uncultured bacterium. RNAcentral's name for it is "bacterial SSU rRNA". It matches the Rfam family "Bacterial small subunit ribosomal RNA", at positions 65 to 524 of the family's 1533-position model. The record is from RNAcentral.